This is a long non-coding RNA of Melospiza georgiana, 103 nucleotides long. RefSeq lists it as uncharacterized. The record is from RefSeq and is a predicted model, not a curated record. Lineage: Eukaryota; Metazoa; Chordata; Aves; Passeriformes; Passerellidae. The transcript has 3 exons.
CCAGGCCGACAUGGAGGGCAGCGGAGUGAUCUGUGCUGGGCAAAUUGGUGGCAUUGGUGAUGGUGAGUCCGGGAUCGUGGGAGGCAUUGGGGGCUGCAUCAAG